RNAcentral lists this ribosomal RNA (465 nucleotides) under uncultured bacterium. RNAcentral's name for it is "partial 16S ribosomal RNA". It matches the Rfam family "Bacterial small subunit ribosomal RNA", at positions 28 to 507 of the family's 1533-position model. The record is from RNAcentral.
GACGAACGCUGGCGGCGUGCUUAACACAUGCAAGUCGAACGGAAAGGCCCCUUUGGGGGUACUCGAGUGGCGAACGGGUGAGUAACACGUGAGUAACCUGCCCUUGACUUCGGGAUAACUUCAGGAAACUGGGGCUAAUACCGGAUAGGAAUCCUUGCUGCAUGGUGGGGGUUGGAAAGCUUCGGCGGUUUUGGAUGGACUCGCGGCUUAUCGGCUUGUUGGUGGGGUAGUGGCUUACCAAGGCUUUGACGGGUAGCCGGCCUGAGAGGGCGACCGGCCACAUUGGGACUGAGAUACGGCCCAGACACCUACGGGAGGCAGCAGUGGGGAAUAUUGCACAAUGGGCGGAAGCCGGAUGCAGCAACGCCGCGGGCGGGAUGACGGCCUUCGGGUUGUAAACCGCUUUCAGCAGGGGCGAAGCUUGUGGUGACGGUACCUGCAGAAGAAGCACCGGCUAACUACGUG